RNAcentral lists this unclassified non-coding RNA (526 nucleotides) under Hevea brasiliensis (rubber tree). Lineage: Eukaryota; Viridiplantae; Streptophyta; Magnoliopsida; Malpighiales; Euphorbiaceae. The record is from RNAcentral.
GGAAACAGUAAAACAUGGACAACAACACGCCUAGGCUAGAACAAUUGAUGGAACUAAAUAAAAGUGUGGAGAAUAGUAAAUACUACUUUUUACAAGAAUCUUCGGCUUUUGUAGAAGUAGAUGUGAAAGUAACUGGGGUUGUAGGAUGGUCCCGCACCACCAAGCUAAGAACUUCAGGCCUUGCAUAAUGACCGACUACAUCGAAAUCAAAUUUUGCCCGUGCUAUUUCUCCAAGAUCUAGAUCUGCUGAAAUAAGUGCCUCUCCAUCGUAAUUGGGUCCAGCUAGGAUUGUCCCUGAAGGUGAUAUGAUGGCACUACCUCCAGCACAAACAACAGAAUCUGGGCUCAGCUCCUCUUCUGUGCCGGAAAAUACAUAUUCUGGUGGAGGCGGGUAGUCUUUUCUUCGGCAGAACUGGUUGGCUGACAAAACAAAACAUCCACCCUCCAAAGCAAUAUGGGUCAUUGAUGCUUGCCAUGUAUCCCGAGAAUCAGCAGUAGGUGCACAAUAUAUUUCAAUGCCUUUUGC